UACGGGGGGGGCAAGCGUUGUUCGGAAUUACUGGGCGUAAAGGGCUCGUAGGCGGUUUGUUGCGUCGGCUGUGAAAUCCCGAGGCUCAACCUCGGGUCUGCAGUCGAUACGAGCAAACUAGAGUGUUGCAGGGGAGACUGGAAUUCCUGGUGUAGCGGUGAAAUGCGCAGAUAUCAGGAGGAACACCGGUGGCGAAGGCGGGUCUCUGGGCAACAACUGACGCUGAGGAGCGAAAGCGUGGGGAGCGAACAGG
RNAcentral lists this ribosomal RNA (253 nucleotides) under uncultured bacterium. RNAcentral's name for it is "partial 16S ribosomal RNA". It matches the Rfam family "Bacterial small subunit ribosomal RNA", at positions 524 to 776 of the family's 1533-position model. The record is from RNAcentral.